This 29-nucleotide non-coding RNA is filed under the name Mus musculus (house mouse). The record is from RNAcentral. Lineage: Eukaryota; Metazoa; Chordata; Mammalia; Rodentia; Muridae. RNAcentral also lists the same sequence under 1 other name.
UUUUUUUUCCUUCUUGUACAAUCCUUGGA